UACGUAGGUGGCAAGCGUUGUCCGGAAUCAUUGGGCGUAAAGAGCGCGUAGGUGGCUUGUCAGGUCUGAUGUGAAAACCUGGGGCUCAACUCCAGGCCUGCAUCAGAAACUGGCUUGCUAGAGUCUGGGAGAGGAGAGUGGAAUUCCUGGUGUAGCGGUGAAAUGCGUAGAUAUCAGGAGGAACACCGGUAGCGAAGGCGGCUCUCUGGAACAGUACUGACGCUGAGGCGCGAAAGCUAGGGGAGCGAACA
RNAcentral lists this ribosomal RNA (251 nucleotides) under uncultured prokaryote. RNAcentral's name for it is "partial 16S ribosomal RNA". It matches the Rfam family "Bacterial small subunit ribosomal RNA", at positions 524 to 774 of the family's 1533-position model. The record is from RNAcentral.